This 67-nucleotide microRNA precursor is filed under the name Pan troglodytes (chimpanzee). RNAcentral describes it as "microRNA ptr-mir-302d precursor". Its record names the gene ptr-mir-302d. It matches the Rfam family "mir-302 microRNA precursor family". The record is from miRBase by way of RNAcentral. Lineage: Eukaryota; Metazoa; Chordata; Mammalia; Primates; Hominidae.
CCUCUACUUUAACAUGGAGGCACUUGCUGUGACAUGACAAAAAUAAGUGCUUCCAUGUUUGAGUGUG